RNAcentral lists this long non-coding RNA (257 nucleotides) under Mytilus galloprovincialis (Mediterranean mussel). Lineage: Eukaryota; Metazoa; Mollusca; Bivalvia; Mytilida; Mytilidae. The record is from RNAcentral.
AUUUUCUAUGUUCAGUGGACCAUGAAAUUGGGGUCAAAACUAUAAUUUGGCAUUAAAAUUAGAAAGAUCAUAUCAUGGGGAACAAGUGUACUAAGAUUCAAGUUGAUUGGACUUCAACUUCUUCAAAAACUACCUUGACCAAAAACUUUAACCUGAAGCAGACGGACGAACAGAGGCACAGACAGACGGACGGACGAACGGAGGCACAGACCAGAAAACAUAAUGCCCCUCUACUAUCGUAGGUGGGGCAUAAAAAA